UUGCUGAAGUUGAAGUAUUCUCAUUGUGGAAUUCUGGGAAUUAAGUGUGGGCAGGAGGGUAGAUGUACAGGUAGCAGCAGACAUAACAGACUCAGGAAAGCUGGAUCAAAAUCCAGCAACAGGAAGAGCCAGGAAGAAACUGAUCUGCAGAACACAAGAGGGCUCAGGACUGCCACAGCCACACCUGGUACCAAGAAGUAAGAGCUACAAUCAAAAGGAUUAGACAAACGUCUGUUUCAGAGACAGACGCCAGCAUUCCUCUCCCUCACUGCGACCAGCUGGACCAGUUCGUUCCGAACCCAGCUGAUAUAGUUUGGGUAUUUGUCCAAAUCUUCUGUUGAAAUAUGAUUCCCAGUGUUGGAUGUGGGGCCUAGUGAGAGGUGUCUGGGUCAUGGGGAUGGAUCCCUCAUGAAUAGCUUGGUGCCCUCCCCACAGGAAUAAGUUCCCCAGAGAUCUGCUUGUUCAAGAGGUCGGGAGCUCCCUCCUCUCUCGUUCCCGCUCUAUGUGAUAAGCCUGCCCCCACUCUGCCUUCCGCCAUGACUGUAAGCUUCCUGAGCCGUCACCAGAAGCCGAUGACAGCACUUAUGCUUCCUGUAGUCUGCAGAACUGUGUCAAAGCCCACAGAAUGUAGAACACCCAGAGUGAACCCUAAUGUGAACAUGGACUUCGGAUGAUGAUGUCGGUUCAUCGAAACACCCAGAGUGAACCCUAAUGUGAACAUGGACUUCGGAUGAUGAUGUCGGUUCAUUGAAAACACCCAGAGUGAACCCUAAUGUGAACAUGGACUUUGGAUGAUGAUGUGGGUUCAUCGAUUGUACCAAAAAUGCCUCUGUGGUACAGGAUGCUGACGGUGCGGAAGGCCACGAGUGUGUGGAGCAGGGGUAUAUGGGAACUCUCUGUACCUUCCACUUAAAUUUGUUGUGAACCUAAAAUUGCUCUAAAAAAUAAAGUCUAUUAAUAAUAAUAAAAAAGAAACCUCAAAAUAACACCAAAAACCCCUCAACAACAACAACAAAAAACCUAGUUUGGUAGUUCCUAAAAAAGCUAAACAUAGAAUUGCCAUAUGAUACAGCAAUUCUACUGCUGAGUAGACUGAAAAUAGGGACUCAGACAGAUACGCGGAAGCCAGUGUUCGCUGCAGCAAGACUCCAAUAGCCAAGAGGUGGACACAAACGACCUAAGUGUCCAUCAACUGAUUCAAAACGUGACAGAUCCAUACAAUGGAGUGUUAUUGAGACAUAAAGGAACACCGUAAGGAAUACUGUUCUGAUACAUGGCACAAUGUGGAUGAACCCUGAGAAUGCCACGCUAAGUAAAAGGAGUCAGGUACAAAAGGACAAACAUGGUAUGAUUCUACUUAUAAGGACUAUCUAGAUUAGGCAAAUCCACAGAGAGAGGACGUAGAAUAGAGGCUGUCAGGGCUGGGGGAGGAGGAAGAGGGAGGGAUUGUUUAGUGAGUACAGAGUUUCUGAGACGCUCGGUGGCAAUGUGCAUGACAACGUGAAUGUAUUUAGUGCCACUUAACUAUACACGUAAAAACAGUUAAAAUGGAAAUGUUUAUGUUAUAUAUAUUUUGCCACAAUUUUAAGAAAAAAAAGCCCAGUGAUCCCUCCCUUUCUCCUUUCCCCUUCCUCAAAAGCAAUUACGUCUAAAGCCGUUAAGUGAGGCAAGGUAGGUGAUCUGUUUGGAGGGGUGGGGGAGGUGUGUGACCGGGAGGUCACGCAGAGUUGGCCGGGUGACGAGGGUAAUGGGAGUGGGAGAAAGUGGACGGGAUGUGGAUAGAUCAGAUGAGUAAACAUGCUGAGAUGACAGCAGCUGGACUUCUCACUGUUGGUGAAGGAAGUACAUAUGUGAAAAGGUGGAAAACUAAAAUAAAUGCUUUGGUAUCAGACAAGGUCUCCAACCGAUGGAAUCAAACCAACCUUACUGAUGCAAACUCAUGAUUACUUACACACACACACACGCACUCACAGGAGAGUGUACUGAUACAUAUACAUACAUUUCCUACCUUACUAAGAGGGCCUGAUGAGCUGGUAUUCCCAAUU
Molecule: long non-coding RNA, 2045 nt
Filed under: Homo sapiens (human)
Lineage: Eukaryota; Metazoa; Chordata; Mammalia; Primates; Hominidae
Description: HSALNT0067652
Source: RNAcentral